RNAcentral lists this long non-coding RNA (4434 nucleotides) under Androctonus crassicauda. The record is from RNAcentral. Lineage: Eukaryota; Metazoa; Arthropoda; Arachnida; Scorpiones; Buthidae.
AUUUUUAUGUUAUUUUAAAUAAAACUUUUUAUUGUAUAUGUGCGUUGUAAUCACACCUGUUCGAGUGUUUUCGACAAAGGUUAAGAUGCCACUUUUUUUCUAUUAUAGCGUAUGGAGAAAGUGGCAUCUUAACCUCCUUUUGCACGUUAUAAACAUACGUAUAUAUACAUAGUCGAUUACGCGACUUAAUUAGUGGGCCCAUCGUCAUUAAGUUUCGACUGGAAUCUCUCCUCUCGGGCCUUGUUUCUAAUCGAUAGCCAUGAUUAAGAAACGGUGUUAUUACCCGUGAAAAAUCGCAGGCAAUUCGAAAUCGGACGUAUGAGGUCUUAACUUCGUGCCAAACAAUAUCGUCCAAUUUUAAGCAAAAUGGCUGGAAUUACUCGACUUUUAAGUAUCGCUCGUGAUUACCGGUAUCAAUUACAGCUUUCCAUUUCACGCGAAUUACACGCUAAGCUAAUUACCCCCCUCAGGCAAACUCUUCGACGCUUAGAUUCUGCGCAUAUAAGCGUGUGGCAUUAAAGUCUGGUGACGAAUCGAAAGGAGUAAAACAACCCUCGACCUUUAUCCUUGUUUUGACUCGCAAGUCCGAGUCUUAUUUAUAAGGUUAUCUCUCUUUAGUUGCAGGUAAUGUUUGUAAUUCACGUACAGGAGCGCCCGCACACCGCCCCCUACUCGCAAUUAUGAGAUGUUCAUCCCCAGAGAUUAGAGAGAUUUUUUUUUUACUUUUUUUUCCAACCCGGUCUGACACGAUUCUGAUCAAAGAGUGCGAAUAACCUAUAGGUUAAUAUCAAAAUGACAUAAGCAUGCAUAACUAGAGCUUAUCGCUGAAGUUAUGCAGCUUAUCGGUCAUUCUUUGUCGUCGGCAUUAAAGUUUUGAAUUGUUGCAUUUUACUGUGGUACCUGCAGACGAAAAUAAUGUCGGGUAUAAGUGCACGAUUUAUCUCUGGCCAAGGCUAUUUUUCCCUCCUGUUCCCUUCGAGUUAACUAGUAAAAAUAAUAUGGAAUUCGAGAUUUGAAUCCUCCGUUACUGGUUUUAUAAUGCCUUAAAUUUUGGAAAAAACAAAAAAGACAAAUCGGAAUUUUCGUAAUGGCGACUAUUAACGCGCCAGUGGUGUAAAUUUACCAUAGGAGAUUCAAAUUUCCUCAAUUACUAAAGACGAAUCCACACCCGAAUCUCUCAAUACCCUUCUCUUGCUCUCGGUUAACCCUAAAUAAUAUUUUACCUCACAAGUCACGAGGCACAUCACACGUGACCAUCAAAAUACCGAACCAGGUGCAAAUCCCAAUCACGCCGAAGGAGUAGAUAAUGAGAUCUAUGAACUGUUCAGCCACACCUUCCACCGACGGGGUCAGAGGUCAAAUCCGAACGUCCACCCCGUCCGGUUGGUAAAAACGGUGGAACAAGACGGAUUGAGUGAUCUAUGACCCCAAGCCAUCGGGCCGCUCCCCCUUAGCCAGUCACUUGGUCCUAAAUAGUCUAUUUACUCCACCGGAUAUUAUAUACAUAUAAAGGAUGCCUCACGUAUAGAUGGGGCGGGAAUUAGCCCCUCCCCCCUCUAGGGAGUCAUUUGUCAAACCCCACCCGAAUAUGAAGUCGGACUUCUACCGCCUACGCUGUUUCUGCUCAUCUGGGAUAAGGUAAGCUUCACUCGGAAUAUAUGCAAACGCCAAAUUAUCUAAUUUACUCUUCGUCGACUCCAAAGAUUCGAGUUUUGUACGCGAUACUUCUCCGGUGAGACAGACUGACCUACUUUCCCUCUAAAACCGACAAGUGGUUUUGGCACAGUAUCGGUUUUUCCCCCUCCCCAACGAAAUUCCGAUUGAAAAAUGUCGAAGGCGAUCGGGUGACGUCACCUAUCGGAAUUUCUUUUUUUUGUUCUGUGGCGGAAUGGUUGGACCGUCGUCGUGGUCGUCGUCAUCAACAUACUUUCGAAACGACGUCAUCCGAAAAUGGGCCAAUAAGAAAUGGGGAGGUGCAACUCCGUGAUGCGAAGGCGCUGUCGGUUGAGACAGAUGGCGUCACGAUCGCAAACGGACAGGAUCCACCCGGAGACUAAUCGUAGAAAGAGAUCACGAGGUCAAAAUCUUUAUACGUUUGUUGCUCCACUAUAUUCCACCAGUAACAUUCGCAUGCGUGGCAAAAAGAGAUACAGGCCUUCAAAACAAAAGAAGUUUUAAUCAGCGAGAAGAUACGAUGAUAAUGAUGACAGCUCGGAGAGGGGAAAAACUAGAUCCUCCCCCUCGAAUUCCUGUUAUUGCAAAGAAUCCACGCUAUUUAGUAGCAGAAGGAAAUUAAUUAUGCAAGCAGAGGUAGGAAUUAAUAAAAAGAAAACGAAACAUUGCCUGCAUCAGACGGAUCUGGGUUUCUCCAAAGUUCACUAUUCUGCAUCAGUAGUUCCACUUAUCCAUCUUGCCGUAUUUAUUUAACUAUCGAAGAAAGAGCAUCGAUAACCAAACAGUUUGAUCCCCACAUUAAUCAUCAGAGCAAAUAUUAAAAAAAAAAGGCAUAAAUCUAACAUCCUCAUCUUGGACGUUCACGCAAUAUACGAUCUACAGAAGAUUUACUGCUAUACGUUAAAAAAAAAAAUGUGAUAAAGUUGCUUCGGUAACAAUUUUGCAUUUUGUUUCUUAGCAGAAAACAUAAAAAAAAAAUCGGAAAAGGGGAGAUCAAGAGGACAUUCGGACGUCCUAUCGUAAACAUGGCAGGAAGAGGGAGUUUCCCCGCCAACUUUGAGUAAAUAAGAGGGAAAAUUGUUGACUUUGAUGCGUCGGAAUCGCAAACACGUUCCUUUCACGCUGAGCGCGUGAGAGAACAGGCUCUCACGCAUAUUCACGAUCCGCUCGGAAACUUGGACCGUUCCGUCAGUCCCUACACGCAAUCGUUUGAUUAAAUUCGCCACUUUAAUCGUUGGUAAACUCGGGUGUAGGUAGCCGCAGCGUCACCUGGUUAGUUACGGUUACUCCCCGGUCGAUCGUCGACUUUCAGUUAAUGUGGCCCAGCCAGCGCGUGCACGGCUGGACGGGAAAAGCGCCACCUGUCGCUUCGUAACAGUGACACCGGCAGACGUUUAAGCGCUCAAUGACGAGUGAAUCCCGUAAAGUUGGUCUGCUCGCCGAUUCUACUAACUUUGAACAAUUGAUAGAAGCUUCCUCUUCCCCGCCACACUAUUCCCAAACAACGUAAAUUAUCAUGGAGCGCAAACCGUUUAAAUCGUCAAAAAUUUUCCUGCGUUGUAAAAAAAGAGGAGCGUAAUGCAGAACCAACCAAAAAUCUAAAACCGAUCGGAUUACUCCAUAAUAAUGGAGCAAAAACGAUUUCUGUCUCUUCCUCUCUACAAGAAUGUCGACACGUGUCCAAGCUAGAUCCUUGCCCCUUUUGCCCCUCUAUCUCUUAAAACAUGGAACUAUCUUCGUGCUCUAGAGGAUUUUUAUUGGUCAUUGUUUAUUUUAAUCCUCGACUAGGCAGAAUAAAAACAAAGUAUAUGCAGCCAUCAGUGCAUAAAUGAAUAUUAAGUUGUCGGGCAGAGCCCACCACUGUUAUCUUAUGCAGCACUUUUCAAAAUUUCCAGUGCGUUUUACUUAAAUUAACUUUAUUAAUGGUUAACGAAAGUAUGCCGAAGCGUUUAUUUAGGCAUAUUUGCCCCGAUAAUCCAUAGCUUCAGGGGUCAAAUUGGGAUAGAAGCGACGCCCGACAGUCAUCGUUGAAAAACUGGUAUUUCGGGGGCUUCGCAUCAAUAGAGCCGAGUCGAAGCUUCCUCUUUUCUAAUUAACUGCGCAUGUCCGCUUCCGAAGUUUCCGUUUUUCUCCGCCAGGAUCGCUGUUUUGUGGCUAAUGAGUUCUUUCGUGAUUCCCGUCACAACGCUGACCUGUCGGUUGUGACAUGGAAUGAAAAAUGAAUGGUGGGAGGUAGAAGGAUGCUGUUGAUCAUUUAUAAUUUGUCUCAACUGCUUCGAUUGCGGCCGAAGAAUUGGAAGAGAGGGAGGAUUUCCCUUAAGGGCUAGGGAAUGGGGAAUUGUUAUGCGGAGAUCAUUGCCUAAGUUUAUUAAUUGUUUCGAGUCCUUCAUUUGCAUCUCUCUUUCGGGAGAUAUACCAGAUUUCCUUUCUGACAAUCGAGUUGUGAUUGGCUCCAGUACAUCGAGUUUAACUGCGGAAUCUUUGUAGCCACCACGCGAUUUAUGUAAAUUUUUCCAGUUUGGGGUCUAAAAUAAGAAUUCGGAAAAAGUAGAACGUUUAGAAACGAUGGUUACAGCAAUUCUCUCUGAUGUCCCGCCUCGGUCCCAUUUUAGACAGGAAGUCUCGGUUUUCGUAAAUAAAGCAUCCCAAAUUAGUCGGAUCCAUAUUUAAAAGUAUGGCGAACGCCAGUUAGAUUAUUAAUAAAAUUUACAUUUUUUUAAUUUUUUUUUUUUUUUUUUUUGAAAACGAUGUCGAUGGCAG